AUUCAACUGACAAGUCUCACAUAGGACGAAACGCGCCUCCUAGAU
RNAcentral lists this non-coding RNA (45 nucleotides) under Schistosoma mattheei. Lineage: Eukaryota; Metazoa; Platyhelminthes; Trematoda; Strigeidida; Schistosomatidae. The record is from RNAcentral.